This 438-nucleotide ribosomal RNA is filed under the name uncultured bacterium. RNAcentral's name for it is "bacterial SSU rRNA". It matches the Rfam family "Bacterial small subunit ribosomal RNA", at positions 338 to 793 of the family's 1533-position model. The record is from RNAcentral.
CCUACGGGAUGCACCAGUGGGGAAUAUUGGACAAUGGGCGAAAGCCUGAUCCAGCAAUGCCGCGUGUGUGAAGAAGGUCUUCGGAUUGUAAAGCACUUUCGACGGGGACGAUGAUGACGGUACCCGUAGAAGAAGCCCCGGCUAACUUCGUGCCAGCAGCCGCGGUAAUACGAAGGGGGCUAGCGUUGCUCGGAAUGACUGGGCGUAAAGGGCGCGUAGGCGGUUUAUGCAGUCAGAUGUGAAAUCCCCGGGCUUAACCUGGGAACUGCAUUUGAGACGCAUAGACUAGAGGUCGAGAGAGGGUUGUUGAAUUCCCAGUGUAGAGGUGAAAUUCGCAGAUAUUGGGAAGAACACCGGUGGCGAAGGCGGCAACCUGGCUCGAUACUGACGCUGAGGCGCGAAAGCGUGGGGAGCCAACAGGAUUAGAUACCCCUGUAG